GAACCUGCGGAAGGAUCAUUAAUGAGAUAGUAAACCCGCCCUGGGUCUCACCACCGCCUGAGACAAAAUAUCAGCGGUUGCGUGCAGUUAAUCGGUAUAACCUUUUUGAAACCUGGGGCAGCUAUCCACCCGUGUAUAUAUACUAUGUUGCUUUCCGGGCGUCGAACCCCGGAGAGAACCAAACUCUUAAGUUUAUAGACGUCUGAGUACUAUAUAAUAGUUAAAACUUUCAACAACGGAUCUCUUGGUUCUGGCAUCGAUGAAGAACGCAGCGAAAUGCGAUAAGUAAUGUGAAUUGCAGAAUUCAGUGAAUCAUCGAAUCUUUGAACGCACAUUGCGCCCCUUGGUAUUCCGGGGGGCAUGCCUGUUCGAGCGUCAUUAAAGCCCAAUCCCUCCGGGGGUCUUGGGGCCUGCGAUCACGCAGCCCUUAAAGCUAGUGGCGGUGCCUCUCGGCUCUAAGCGUAGUAAUUCUUCUCGCUAUAGAAAGGAGGGAACACUUGCCAAAAUCCCCACACUACUUAGGAUUGACCUCGGAUCAGGUAGGGAUACCCGCUGAACUUAAGCAUAUCAAUAAACGGGAGGAAGA
Molecule: ribosomal RNA, 586 nt
Filed under: Helotiaceae sp. M102
Lineage: Eukaryota; Fungi; Ascomycota; Leotiomycetes; Helotiales; Helotiaceae
Description: eukaryotic LSU rRNA
Rfam family: 5.8S ribosomal RNA (bases 225-378)
Source: RNAcentral